Molecule: long non-coding RNA, 1226 nt
Organism: Hemicordylus capensis (graceful crag lizard)
Lineage: Eukaryota; Metazoa; Chordata; Lepidosauria; Squamata; Cordylidae
Exons: 2
Source: RefSeq, a predicted model, not a curated record
UGUGAAGCCAGGAUCCAGCCUGGAAGAGCAGAGAGAUAAGAGUCAUACUGCAAAGGAAUAGGAAGAGAGCUAAACAGGAGAACAUGAUGCAACAACAAGAACAGGCACUAAGAACAAAUGCAAUAAGAGCAAAAGUAGAAAAAGUAGAAAAAUCCACAACAAACAGCAAGUGCCGCCUUUGUAAAGAAGCAGAUGAAACUGUGGACCACCUAAUCAACUUGCCAGGUCUUGGUAAUGUUUGAUUUUCCACUUACAUUGUGCAAAUAUUGACCAUGCAGUGGCUUAUUUUUCCUUUUUUUCUGCUCUGUUCUUGACUUGUUCUUUCUUGUAGGCCUGCUUUGUUUCAUUGGUGUUUAAUAGUUUCUCGUUAUUGACCAUUUGAAGUGCAUCUUCUUCACUGUCCUUUAUAUAUUCUUCAAGGCCUCUUUUCUCCUCCUCUACUGUUUGAUGGACUUGCAGCAUUCCUCUUCCACCUGAGCUGCGAGGGAGGUAGAGCCUAUCUACAUCACUGCGGGGGUGCAGAGCAUGACUGAUGGUCAUUAUUUUCCUGGUCUUACGAUCUAGCCCCACACUGCCUGCAUUUACUUUAAGGAAAGCCCUUUACUUGUAAAGAUGAAUCCUCGCCAGAUUCCCCUUUACAAUUAUAUUCCCAAGCCAGCUGUUCGAUUUGGGUACAAAUCAAAAUGAAAAAAUUGAUUCGUGCACAUCCCUAUUAGCUUUUUCUUGUGUAUCUCCCCUUUGUUUGCAUCUUAGCUCUGUUGAUAUUUUCCUUCUUGGUCAAACCUUGAGUAACUUUCUCAAUUUCACACCUCCAUCAUUUUUCUUUUGCUAUCCUUUGUCUCUGAAAUUCACUGCCUCCCAACAUCCACACUUAUUCCUCCUUGCAAGUAUUUAAACAGCAUCUGAAAAUGUAUAUAUUCUCAAGUCCUUCUCCCUCCAGGGUGCGCUCUGCCAGUCCUGCCAGACCCAGCACCACACUUGCCUGUUCCAGGAGGAGAUGGAAACAGAGAAAACAUGUUCUGGAGGAGAAUGAGAAAACAAGUGACGUGAGCAUUCUGGCCAUUCUAAGAGGCCUUUCACAGUGGUCCUGCUGCUUUUAGAGGUCCCGGGGCACCUCUAAAAUCAGGAAAGAAGGCAUCUCAUUUGACAGGAAAUAAUGUGAAAACAGAGUGAAAGUACAUAUUAUCAAUUGUAAUAAACAAUUAAAUCCCAUUUAUCAGCAGACA